Molecule: ribosomal RNA, 776 nt
Filed under: uncultured Neocallimastigales
Lineage: Eukaryota; Fungi; Neocallimastigomycota; Neocallimastigomycetes; Neocallimastigales
Description: partial large subunit ribosomal RNA
Rfam family: Eukaryotic large subunit ribosomal RNA
Source: RNAcentral
UAUCUCUGUAGAGUCUGCAUAUCAAUAAGCGGAGGAAAAGAAACUAACUAGGAUUCCCUCAGUAACGGCGAGUGAAGCGGGAAGAGCUCAAAUUUGAAAUCUUCAAGGUUCUACCUUGACGAAUUGUAGUUUAAAGAAGUGUUUUCUGUUGGAGUUUUGGUAAAAGUUCUUUGGAAUAGGACAUCAUAGAGGGUGAGAAUCCCGUAUUUGACCAUUAUUUCCAGCUUUGUGAUACACUUUCAAAGAGUCGGAUUGUUUGGGAAUGCAGUCCAAAAUGGGUGGUAAAUUUCAUCUAAAGCUAAAUACUGGCGAGAGACCGAUAGCGAACAAGUACCGUGAGGGAAAGAUGAAAAGAACUUUGAAAAGAGAGUUAAACAGUACGUGAAAUUGUCAAAAGGGAAGCGUUUGACACCAGUGUUGUUUUUCUCGAAAAUCAAUUAAGAAUGGCUCGAUUCUGUUGUUGUAUGACCUUAUAAGCUCUACUUACAUUUUUCGAUGUCUUUUUUAAUGCACUUUUCGGUUAACAAGUCAACAUCAGUUUCUUUUGUUGUAAAAGGGUCAUUGGAAGGUGGCUUUCUUUUCGGAGAAAGUGUUUAUAGCCUUUGGCCUCUGCAAUCGGAGAGACUGAGGUCUGCAGCGUAGACUCUUCGGGGUUAGAUACAUUUGUGCUAAGUUAUAGCUUUUUAUAGACAACUUGUUGACUAUAAUUAGUCUUGUAGCUUACUCGCUUAUGCUAUUUUACCUACGCUUAGGAUGUUGACGCAUGAGAUAUACGC